Molecule: ribosomal RNA, 253 nt
Filed under: uncultured bacterium
Lineage: Bacteria
Description: partial 16S ribosomal RNA
Rfam family: Bacterial small subunit ribosomal RNA
Source: RNAcentral
UACGUAGGGUGCGAGCGUUGUCCGGAAUUAUUGGGCGUAAAGAGCUCGUAGGCGGUUUGUUGCGUCGGCCGUGAAAACCUGCAGCUUAACUGUGGGCCUGCGGCCGAUACGGGCAGACUUGAGUUCGGUAGGGGAGACUGGAAUUCCUGGUGUAGCGGUGAAAUGCGCAGAUAUCAGGAGGAACACCGGUGGCGAAGGCGGAUCUCUGGGCCAUUACUGACGCUGAGGAGCGAAAGCGUGGGGAGCGAACAGG